CCUACGGGAGGCAGCAGUGAGGAAUAUUGGUCAAUGGACGAGAGUCUGAACCAGCCAAGUAGCGUGAAGGAUGACUGCCCUAUGGGUUGUAAACUUCUUUUAUAUGGGAAUAAAAUGUUCCACGUGUGGGAUUUUGUAUGUACCAUAUGAAUAAGGAUCGGCUCAAUCCGUGCCAGCAGCCGCGGUAAUACGGAGGAUCCGCGGGUUUUCCGGAUUUAUUGGGGGUAAAGGGAGCGUAGGUGGAUUGUUAAGUCAGUUGUGAAAGUUUGGGGCUCAACCGUAAAAUUGCAGUUGAAACUGGCAGUCUUGAGUACAGUAGAGGUGGGCGGAAGUCGGGGUGUAGCGGUGAAAUGCUUAGAUAUCACGAAGAACUCCGAUUGCGAAGGCAGCGCACGGGACUGAAACUGACACGGAGGCUCGAAAGUGUGGGUAUCAAACAGGAUUAGAUACCUAGUAGUC
This 459-nucleotide ribosomal RNA is filed under the name uncultured bacterium. RNAcentral's name for it is "partial 16S ribosomal RNA". It matches the Rfam family "Bacterial small subunit ribosomal RNA", at positions 338 to 795 of the family's 1533-position model. The record is from RNAcentral.